GCUUAACCUGGUUGAUCCUGCCAGUAGUCAUAUGCUUGUCUCAAAGAUUAAGCCAUGCAUGUCUAAGCACAAGCCGAUUAAUGGUGAAGCCGCGAAUGGCUCAUUACAACAGCCAUAGUUUCUUAGAUCUUACUUUUCUACUUGGAUAACUGUGGUAAUUCUAGAGCUAAUACACGCAAACAAGCUCAGACCUUACGGAAUGAGCGCAUUUAUUAGAACAAAAACCAAUCGGACCUCGGUCCGUCAUUUGGUGAAUCUGAAUAACUUUGCUGAUCGCACGGUCAUCGUACCGGCGACAUAUCUUUCAAAUGUCUGCCUUAUCAACUUUCGAUGGUAGUUUAUGCGCCUACCAUGGUUGUAACGGGUAACGGAGAAUAAGGGUUCGACUCCGGAGAGGGAGCCUGAGAAACGGCUACCACAUCCAAGGAAGGCAGCAGGCACGCAAAUUACCCACUCCCAGCACGGGGAGGUAGUGACGAAAAAUAACGAGACGGCUCGCUAUGCGGUCCGUCAUCGGAAUGGGUACAAUUUAAAUCCUUUAACGAGGAUCUAUUGGAGGGCAAGUCUGGUGCCAGCAGCCGCGGUAAUUCCAGCUCCAAUAGCAUAUAUUAAAGUUGUUGCGGUUAAAACGCCCGUAGUUGGAUCAGCGGACGUGGACGAACGGUCUCCCGAUGGGCUGUACUGUUCUCCUGUCCUAAUCAAUGUCUAGUUCGCUCUAGGUGCUCUUCACUGAGUGUCUAGAGUGGCUGGAACUUUUACUUUGAAAAAAUUAGAGUGCUCAAAGCAGGCGUCUCAGCCUGAAUAGUGGUGCACGGAAUAAUGGAAUAGGACCUCAGUUCUAUUUUGUUGGUUUUCGGAGCAUGAGGUAAUGAUUAAGAGGGACAGACGGGGGCAUUCGUAUUGCGACGUUAGAGGUGAAAUUCUUGGAUCGUCGCAAGACGAACUACUGCGAAAGCAUUUGCCAAGAAUGUUUUCAUUAAUCAAGGACGAUAGUUAGAGGUUCGAAGGCGAUCAGAUACCGCCCUAGUUCUAACCGUAAACGAUGUCAACCAGCGAUCCGCAGGAGUUAUUCAUGACUCUGCGGGCAGCUUCCGGGAAACCAAAGUUUUUGGAUUCCGGGGGGAGUAUGGUUGCAAAGCUGAAACUUAAAGGAAUUGACGGAAGGGCACCACCAGGAGUGGAGCCUGCGGCUUAAUUUGACUCAACGCGGGGAAACUCACCCGGCCCGGGCACCGUAAGGAUUGACAGAUUGAGAGCUCUUUCUUGAUUCGGUGGGUGGUGGUGCAUGGCCGUUCUUAGUUGGUGGAGCGAUUUGUCUGGUUAAUUCCGAUAACGAACGAGACUCUAGCCUACUAAAUAGAAGGCAAAUCAUUCGUUUGCUGUACUUCUUAGAGGGACUAGGGGCGUCUAGCCUCACGAGAUUGAGCAAUAACAGGUCUGUGAUGCCCUUAGAUGUCCGGGGCCGCACGCGCGCUACACUGAAGGAUUCAGCAAGUGUUCAGCCUGGUCUGAGAAGAUCGGGUAACCUAAUGAAACUCCUUCGUGGUUGGGAUAGGGACUUGUAAUUAUUUCCCUUGAACGAGGAAUUCCUAGUAAGUGCGGGUCAUCAUCUCGCGUUGAUUACGUCCCUGCCCUUUGUACACACCGCCCGUCGCUACUAUCGAGUGAUGAGUUAUCCAGAUUCUCGGACUGGCUCCUUGGCGGCUUCACGGCUGCCAUCGUGGCUUGGAAAGAGACUCUAGAUCAUUUAUCGCAAGAAAGUAAAAGUCGUAACAAGGUAGCCGUAAGC
This 1789-nucleotide ribosomal RNA is filed under the name uncultured eukaryote. RNAcentral's name for it is "SSU rRNA". It matches the Rfam family "Eukaryotic small subunit ribosomal RNA". The record is from RNAcentral.